This 578-nucleotide long non-coding RNA is filed under the name Hordeum vulgare. RNAcentral's name for it is "long non-coding RNA (HVUL_LNC018156)". Lineage: Eukaryota; Viridiplantae; Streptophyta; Magnoliopsida; Poales; Poaceae. The record is from RNAcentral.
UGGUCGAUUCCCUGCGAGAGGAAACAAGAGAGAGAGAGAGGGUGAGAACCAGAGGGAGAGACGAGAGCACGUGAGGAGAGGGAUGGCGAGGGAGUCCCGUUCCCGGUGCUGGGGGCGCUCAACGAAGCUCCGGCGGCCACAACUUGCGCACCAACACAUGGGCUGCUGACAAACAGGAAACCAACAAGAGGAGUUUCAGAGCAGAGGAAAGAAAAGGAGGAAGGAGGAGAGAACAGCAUGGCGGGGCACUCGCCUGGAUGCGCUGAUGGUGCUGCAUGCCGGCGCCACGCUAGACGCACGAGAUGAGCCUGGGACGAACUCGAGCUCCGGUGGCUGAGAAGGAGGUGGCUUGGGGCAUGGAGCUCGGGCACGGGAGGACCUCCAACUGCUGCUCCCGAUCCCCGUGGAUUGAAGCACGGGAGGAGGCUUGGAGACGAGGUCGAGCGCGGGAGGCCGACACUUCGAUGGAUGGAUGGAUUUGGGUGGCUGGCUUCGUCUGGCUGCAGUGGAUCUGGGGAUUGGCUGGUGGUUGAAACUGAGGGAGGAAAGGAUCCCGAGGAAGAAGAGUGACUCGGCGG